CAGGAUGCAUAAAUAGAAUAUAGUUAGAAAUACUGGAGUUUCAAUACAAAUCUCUGAAGGAUUUUUGGAUCUUCUCACCAAGCUACUAAAAACCCUAAGUAUUGUUUGCUGUGAAAAGUAGAAAAUAUGAAAGCGUGGGUUGCUUAGAACAAUGGCAGAGCACAUAAAUAUUAGGUCAAAAGUCGGCCAGGGGUAUUUUUAUAAAUGUGUUGUGACUUGGGAAUUAAGUCGGCUGGAAACCUAGAUGAAUCUCGCGCGCUUCGCUGUCGAUUGACGGCACAUGAUGUGCGUCGAUGGA
Molecule: long non-coding RNA, 298 nt
Filed under: Brassica napus (rape)
Lineage: Eukaryota; Viridiplantae; Streptophyta; Magnoliopsida; Brassicales; Brassicaceae
Description: long non-coding RNA (BNAP_LNC011543)
Source: RNAcentral